RNAcentral lists this ribosomal RNA (904 nucleotides) under Geopyxis vulcanalis. Its description in RNAcentral is "eukaryotic LSU rRNA". It matches the Rfam family "Eukaryotic large subunit ribosomal RNA", at positions 41 to 965 of the family's 3401-position model. The record is from RNAcentral. Lineage: Eukaryota; Fungi; Ascomycota; Pezizomycetes; Pezizales; Tarzettaceae.
UAUCAAUAAGCGGAGGAAAAGAAACCAACAGGGAUUGCCUUAGUAACUGCGAGUGAAGCGGCAAAAGCUCAAAUUUGAAAUCUGGGGCCUCACAGCCUCCGAAUUGUAAUUUCGCGAUACGUUUUCGACUGAAGGCUCUGCUUUAAGUUCCUUGGAACAGGACGUCACAGAGGGUGAGAAUCCCGUGAUAGGUGGAGCCUGACGCAUAUGAUACGUAUUCAACGAGUCGAGUUGUUUGGGAAUGCAGCUCAAAAUGGGUGGUAAAUUUCAUCUAAAGCUAAAUAUUGGCGAGAGACCGAUAGCGCACAAGUAGAGUGAUCGAAAGAUGAAAAGCACUUUGAAAAGAGAGUUAAAAAGUACGUGAAAUUGUUGAAAGGGAAGCGCUUGAGACCAGACUCAAUCUGUAGUGAUCAACUUGGCUUCUGUCAGGUGCACUUGCUACUUAUUGGGACAGCAUCGGUUUUGGCGGUGGGAUAAAGUCUUGGGGAAUGUAGCUAUCUUCGGGUAGUGUUAUAGCCUCUUGAGUAAUGCCACCAGCCGGGACCGAGGACCGCGCUUCGGCUAGGAUGCUGUCAUAAUGGUCUUCAGCGACCCGUCUUGAAACACGGACCAAGGAGUCUAACAUCUAUGCGAGUGUUCGGGUGGAAAACCCUUGCGCGUAAUGAAAGUGAACGGAGGUGGGAACCUUAGGGUGCACCAUCGACCGAUCCUGAUGUCUUCGGAAGGAUUUGAGUAUGAGCAUAGCUGUUGGGACCCGAAAGAUGGUGAACUAUGCCUGAAUAGGGUGAAGCCAGAGGAAACUCUGGUGGAGGCUCGCAGCGGUUCUGACGUGCAAAUCGAUCGUCAAAUUUGGGUAUAGGGGCGAAAGACUAAUCGAACCAUCUAGUAGCUGGUUCCUGCCGAA